This is a small nuclear RNA of Myotis lucifugus (little brown bat), 104 nucleotides long. NCBI's taxonomy places the organism in Eukaryota, Metazoa, Chordata, Mammalia, Chiroptera, Vespertilionidae. The record is from Ensembl.
GUGCUUUCUUUGGCAGCACAUAUACUAAAAUUGGAACAAUACAGAGGUUAGCAUGGCCUCUGCACAAAGAUGAUAUGUGAAUUUAUGAAGCAUUAACAAAGUAU